GAUCUCUUCUCCCUCUCUCCCCUCUCUGGCCAUCUGGGCGCGCUCCUCCGCGCCUCUAGCCUUUCCACCGCGCUCCAGGCCCAUCCCCGCACCAGCCUCUCUGGGAUCCGACGGCGCCGCGGGUGUAGGCAGGUGAGUCGGCCGAGCCCCGCCCGGGCAGGCGCGGAGGCAGGAAGCGCUCGCGCCAAUCCCUCUCCUGAACCCUGCCCUCACCCCCCACUCACCGGCGCCAGGGGGACGCAGGACGCGUGAGCCCCUUCGCGCCCCCAGCGCUGUCGGCGUCGCUGCCCCAGACAGACACUGCCCCGAGAGGCCUCACAGAGGCGGAGGCUGGGGGCGGCGACCCGGAGCCGCCUCAGCCCUUGCCUUGGGCGCCGUCACCUCAGUCCCCAGAAGCCUUGGGCUCCUGCAGUCUACGAAAAUGCGGAGGACAGCGUGGUUCCGAGAGAGGGCGCCAAAGGCGACUUACGGGCGGCCAGCUCCAGGCCGAGCCCAGAGCGCCUGCAGGAACCUGCCCCUUCACCCGGCGCGGGACGCAGAGCUGUGCCAGAAUCUUGUUCAGCGCGGACUCAACGCCAGGGCGCCGCCUAGAGGUCGGUCUCUGUCUCGGCCUCACCCGCCGGGAGACCACAGAGCUGCUUCCCCAGCCGCCCGCCGCCAGAAAUUGGAAAAAAAAAAAAAAAAAAAAAAAAAUCCAGCUGGGGUCUAGGAACUCGGCUUCUGGAACCUCUGACUUCUCCGAGACUGCCUCCUCCCUCCCCGACACAUAAGGAACCCCUUUAAGGGAGACGGGCUAGGAAGUCCCAGAAAUAUUUAUUCUUGUGACUCUUCACAAAAUGGAAGAGGGUCUCAAUUCUGGUUUCUUUAAGGAUCUUGUGUUUUGCGUCUGUGUCUACGCUGCCUCCUCUUAGCAUCCAAAUUGUCCAGCCCCGCGCCCCACUCCAAUUGCACUAGAACUCUGUUUUAUCUUCAAUGAAGAAAGAGAGCAGGGAGAAGCUGCCUCUAAACCCUCCAGCUUAGCCAUCAAUUUUCGGAAUAAUUUGGAGAUCAACAUGCUUUUGGAAAAGUGUUUGGAAAACGUUUGGGAGUGAAAAGAAACGUUGCCUAAAUGGCCUUUACUCACUGAGUGACCAUCAUCUCAGCUAGUGUAUGAGCAGCACCAGCACCCCAUCCAUGGGUGCCUGUGCUGAGCCUGUGAAAGUUGACUUCUUUGGCGUGCCCUCGGAAGGACACAGCUGGUAUCUAUGGGAACGGCUUUGGGGUGUCCUUUGGCACCAAGCGGAGAGUUUUAUUUUUUUUAACUGGAAUCCAUGGCCUGGGUUCUUCAGAUGGGGUAGGGGAAAGCCACAAAGCCCCUGAAAUGUAUGCAAAACAUAUGGGUGUGCAGGUGCACCAUCCUAAGGCUAUGGCCUCCUCAGUUUUCCCAAAGACUCUAAGACUAUAAAAGGUUUCCUUCUCCUUUCCUUAGCCAGGGAGCCACAGAGACCCAGGCCAUCAAUAGUCUAGGAGCCAGCACACUGGCUCCCACCAGGUGCCUGGGAGGCGAUGGGUAAUAACACUCUUGAAUGGUCUGUAAACUGCUGGCCCCUCAGUCCUGCCCUCCUCCCAGAGGGAAAUCCUGAUAGAAGGAGUGAUAGCCAGUAGCUGGCAUCUCAGUAUUUUGAAUAAAAAUAUAGCAUGAUAAAGAGCAAAUGCGGGAGGCUGGAGGGCCUCCCCAAGCAAAUCCUGGAAUAUGAAUAUUGGCCAGAAAUAAGAUAAUUCCAGCUGUUAAAGAGCACCUCAUUUCCUUCUUCUUGGUGCUAGGAAGGGGCCAGAGAACACUCCCCACAAAACCAUCACCCACCUCUGGAGAGCUGGGGCAGAGCGGAACUGCCUCCAGCAGAGUCAGCCUUUCAGAAAAUUCAAGAACGGUACUGCCUAGUAUUUUCCCUGCCAGUUUAAUUUUUUUUUUAAUCAAAUUUUAAAAAUCUCCAGCAGCACUUUGGUGCCUUUUCUUGGGGUGAGGGUGUGGAGUUGGCUGGGUUGGGGUUGCACCUGUGUGUAUCUAUGGGAAGGGGUGUGCCUUCAGUGCACUAAACCCCCUCCUGGGCCCACAGCUGGACCUCACUCAUGUACCUGAACACCCUGCCUGAGACUGAGCUAAUCUGAGCCAUCAAUUGUGUCUUAGACCUGAACGCCUGGUGUUUUGGGGGUGAAUAACUGUGAGGCAGGAUGAAGAACCUUUUGCUCUCCCACCCAGAAGGGCACCUAACCAGGCUACUGUAGCAGACAAAAGGAGCAGGAAGUCGAUUAUUUCUCUCUCAGUUCUCUGAAGCCCAAGAUGAAAAGGGAUUUUCCUUCGUUUUGGUUCACAGAGGCCUAGUAGAGAAUUUGGAUUCCACGAAGUUUUGAAAAAUGUAAACGAUCCAGAGCAGACAAGAACUAUGGAAACUUGA
This is a long non-coding RNA of Sapajus apella (tufted capuchin), 2435 nucleotides long. RefSeq lists it as uncharacterized. The transcript has 2 exons. Lineage: Eukaryota; Metazoa; Chordata; Mammalia; Primates; Cebidae. The record is from RefSeq and is a predicted model, not a curated record.